AUGUUUCCAUUCAAGUUUAAGAGGAAGCAAUUUCCUAUAAGGCUUAGCUUUGCUAUGACGAUUAACAAGGCUCAGGGGCAGACGAUCCCGAUUGUUGGUGUGUGUCUACCUAAUCUGGUGUUCUCUCAUGGUCAACUCUAUGUUGCUUUGUCUCGAGGCACCGCAAAGAGAAACAUAAAAAUACUAAUUCAGAAGGAGAAGCCAAAGGAGAAGUCCAACAAGCAACAUAACAAUCGGAAGAAGCGAAAAAGACCGACCGUGUCCUUGCUGACCUCAAUGAAGAACAUCGUCUACAAGGAAGUACUUAUAGGCUGA
Molecule: ribosomal RNA, 315 nt
Filed under: Triticum aestivum (bread wheat)
Lineage: Eukaryota; Viridiplantae; Streptophyta; Magnoliopsida; Poales; Poaceae
Description: partial small subunit ribosomal RNA
Source: RNAcentral